This 1489-nucleotide ribosomal RNA is filed under the name metagenome. RNAcentral describes it as "bacterial SSU rRNA". It matches the Rfam family "Bacterial small subunit ribosomal RNA". The record is from RNAcentral.
UUUGAUCCUGGCUCAGAUUGAACGCUGGCGGCAUGCCUUACACAUGCAAGUCGAACGGCAGCACGGGAGCAAUCCUGGUGGCGAGUGGCGAACGGGUGAGUAAUACAUCGGAACGUGCCCAAUCGUGGGGGAUAACGCAGCGAAAGCUGUGCUAAUACCGCAUAAGAUCUACGGAUGAAAGCAGGGGAUCGCAAGACCUUGCGCGAAUGGAGCGGCCGAUGGCAGAUUAGGUAGUUGGUGAGGUAAAGGCUCACCAAGCCUUCGAUCUGUAGCUGGUCUGAGAGGACGACCAGCCACACUGGGACUGAGACACAGCCCAGACUCCUACGGGAGGCAGCAGUGGGGAAUUUUGGACAAUGGGCGCAAGCCUGAUCCAGCCAUGCCGCGUGCAGGAUGAAGGCCUUCGGGUUGUAAACUGCUUUUGUACGGAACGAAACGGCUCUUUCUAAUAAAGAGGGCUAAUGACGGUACCGUAAGAAUAAGCACCGGCUAACUACGUGCCAGCAGCCGCGGUAAUACGUAGGGUGCAAGCGUUAAUCGGAAUUACUGGGCGUAAAGCGUGCGCAGGCGGUGAUGUAAGACAGUUGUGAAAUCCCCGGGCUCAACCUGGGAACUGCAUCUGUGACUGCAUCGCUGGAGUGCGGCAGAGGGGGAUGGAACUCCGCGUGUAGCAGUGAAAUGCGUAGAUAUGCGGAGGAACACCGAUGGCGAAGGCAAUCCCCUGGGCCUGCACUGACGCUCAUGCACGAAAGCGUGGGGAGCAAAUAGGAUUAGAUACCCUGGUAGUCCACGCCCUAAACGAUGUCAACUGGUUGUUGGGUCUUCACUGACUCAGUAACGAAGCUAACGCGUGAAGUUGACCGCCUGGGGGGUACGGCCGCAAGGUUGAGACUCAAAGGAAUUGACGGGGACCCGCACAAGCGGUGGAUGAUGUGGUUUAAUUCGAUGCAACGCGAAAAACCUUACCCACCUUUGACAUGUACGGAAUUUGCCAGAGAUGGCUUAGUGCUCGAAAGAGAACCGUAACACAGGUGCUGCAUGGCUGUCGUCAGCUCGUGUCGUGAGAUGUUGGGUUAAGUCCCGCAACGAGCGCAACCCUUGUCAUUAGUUGCUACAUUUAGUUGGGCACUCUAGUGAGACUGCCGGUGACAAACCGGAGGAAGGUGGGGAUGACGUCAAGUCCUCAUGGCCCUUAUAGGUGGGGCUACACACGUCAUACAAUGGCUGGUACAAAGGGUUGCCAACCCGCGAGGGGGAGCUAAUCCCAUAAAACCAGUCGUAGUCCGGAUCGCAGUCUGCAACUCGACUGCGUGAAGUCGGAAUCGCUAGUAAUCGUGGAUCAGAAUGUCACGGUGAAUACGUUCCCGGGUCUUGUACACACCGCCCGUCACACCAUGGGAGCGGGUUCUGCCAGAAGUAGUUAGCCUAACCGCAAGGAGGGCGAUUACCACGGCAGGGUUCGUGACUGGGGUGAAGUCGUAACAAGGUA